This 672-nucleotide ribosomal RNA is filed under the name uncultured bacterium. RNAcentral describes it as "bacterial SSU rRNA". It matches the Rfam family "Bacterial small subunit ribosomal RNA", at positions 76 to 743 of the family's 1533-position model. The record is from RNAcentral.
GAGCUUGCUCCUGCCGGCGAGUGGCGAACGGGUGAGUAAUGCAUCGGAACGUGUCCUGUUGUGGGGGAUAACUGAUCGAAAGAUCAGCUAAUACCGCAUGAGACCUGAGGGUGAAAGCGGGGGAUCGCAAGACCUCGCGCGACAGGAGCGGCCGAUGUCUGAUUAGCUAGUUGGUGAGAUAAAAGCUUACCAAGGCGACGAUCAGUAGCUGGUCUGAGAGGAUGAUCAGCCACAUUGGGACUGAGACACGGCCCAGACUCCUACGGGAGGCAGCAGUGGGGAAUUUUGGACAAUGGGGGAAACCCUGAUCCAGCCAUGCCGCGUGCGGGAUGAAGGCCUUCGGGUUGUAAACCGCUUUUGUCAGAGACGAAAAGGGACGUACGAAUAAUACGUUCCGCUGACGGUAUCUGAAGAAUAAGCACCGGCUAACUACGUGCCAGCAGCCGCGGUAAUACGUAGGGUGCAAGCGUUAAUCGGAAUUACUGGGCGUAAAGGGUGCGCAGGCGGCUGUGCAAGACAGAUGUGAAAUCCCCGGGCUUAACCUGGGAACUGCAUUUGUGACUGCACGGCUAGAGUUUGUCAGAGGAGGGUGGAAUUCCGCGUGUAGCAGUGAAAUGCGUAGAUAUGCGGAAGAACACCAAUGGCGAAGGCAGCCCUCUGGGACAUGACUGA